CCCUUAGAUGUUCUGGGCCGCACGCGUGCUACACUGAGUGGAUCAGCGGGUCAGGUUGCGCGAAAGCGUUUCCUAAUCUUUAAAUCCGCUCGUGAUGGGGAUUGACGGUUGCCAUUUUCUGUCAUGAACGAGGAAUACCUUGUAAGCGCGGGUCAUCAUCCCGCGCUGAAUACGUCCCUGCCCUUUGUACACACCGCCCGUCGCUCCUACCGAUUGAGUGGUCCGGUGAGGCUUUGGGAUCUGAGCGGAAAGAGCGUUUCGCUGUUUCUGCUCGGAAAACUCAGUCGAACCUUAUCAUUUAGAGGAAGGAGAAGUCGUAACA
Molecule: ribosomal RNA, 322 nt
Filed under: uncultured eukaryote
Lineage: Eukaryota
Description: partial 18S ribosomal RNA
Rfam family: Eukaryotic small subunit ribosomal RNA
Source: RNAcentral